GACGAACGCUGGCGGCGUGCUUAACACAUGCAAGUCGAACGAUGAAGCUGGAGCUUGCUCCAGUGGAUUAGUGGCGAACGGGUGAGUAACACGUGAGCAAUCUGCCCUUGACUCUGGGAUAACUGCGGGAAACUGUAGCUAAUACCGGAUACGACACCUUGGGGCAUCCCGGGGUGUGGAAAGAAUUUCGGUCAAGGAUGAGCUCGCGGCCUAUCAGCUUGUUGGUGAGGUAAAGGCUCACCAAGGCGACGACGGGUAGCCGGCCUGAGAGGGUAACCGGCCACACUGGAACUGAGACACGGUCCAGACUCCUACGGGAGGCAGCAGUGGGGAAUAUUGCACAAUGGGCGAAAGCCUGAUGCAGCAACGCCGCGUGAGGGAUGACGGCCUUCGGGUUGUAAACCUCUUUUAGCAGGGAUGAAGCGAAAGUGACGGUACCUGCAGAAAAAGCACCGGCUAACUACGUGCCAGCAGCCGCGGUAA
RNAcentral lists this ribosomal RNA (483 nucleotides) under uncultured bacterium. RNAcentral describes it as "partial 16S ribosomal RNA". It matches the Rfam family "Bacterial small subunit ribosomal RNA", at positions 28 to 523 of the family's 1533-position model. The record is from RNAcentral.